GACGAACGCUGGCGGCGUGCUUAACACAUGCAAGUCGAACGAUGAUCCGGAGCUUGCUCCUGUGAUUAGUGGCGAACGGGUGAGUAACACGUGAGUAACCUGCCCCUGACUCUGGGAUAAGCGUUGGAAACGACGUCUAAUACUGGAUAUGAUCACUGGCCGCAUGGUCUGGUGGUGGAAAGAUUUUUUGGUUGGGGAUGGACUCGCGGCCUAUCAGCUUGUUGGUGAGGUAAUGGCUCACCAAGGCGACGACGGGUAGCCGGCCUGAGAGGGUGACCGGCCACACUGGGACUGAGACACGGCCCAGACUCCUACGGGAGGCAUCAGUGGGGAAUAUUGCACAAUGGGCGAAAGCCUGAUGCAGCAACGCCGCGUGAGGGAUGACGGCCUUCGGGUUGUAAACCUCUUUUAGUAGGGAAGAAGCGAAAGUGACGGUACCUGCAGAAAAAGCACCGGCUAACUACGUG
Molecule: ribosomal RNA, 467 nt
Filed under: uncultured bacterium
Lineage: Bacteria
Description: partial 16S ribosomal RNA
Rfam family: Bacterial small subunit ribosomal RNA
Source: RNAcentral